CAGACAGCAUCGUCAGAAGGAAAGUUGAUAAAAUAAAUUACAAAUUUUGUAUUGUUCUUUUUUUUUCUCCCCUUUGGUUUCUUUCUUCUCUCCCCCUCUUUCUUUCAUUCUUUCCCCCUGUCCUAUCCCACAGUCAUGUCUGUCCCGUUUGCAACUGAAAAUAAAAUAAAUUCAUAAUUAUAAUAAAGGUCAAUCAAAUGGACCAAUAUGAUGAUCCACUUAAAAUAAAUCCUCUUGGCAUCUUUCUUGGCCUCAAGACAACAAUUCUGAUGGCUAUAGAUCCAAACGGGACACAAAAAAAAAAAGUUCUCAAGAGAGGACAUCCUGGCCACUCCAAUUUAGCUCCAAAGAGGCAGGGAAUCACACAAAAAUAAGUUAAACUGAAAGAGGUUCUCAGGAGGCUAUGACCAUUACUUGCUGUCAGUUGUUGCAUUUCAGAGUCAGAUGGUGGUGUCAACACUGUAAGUCACAGGAUCAGGACAAAAAUCAAGUCAGUAGUUUAAUGAAAUGGUAUUUGAAAACCUCAGACAUGACACUGUACAGAUAGCUGUGCUGUCUUUAGCUUUGGACUUUACCAUUCCAUGAUGAUGCCUAAUCCUUUUCAACAUUCCCUCAGUGGAAAAGAUGGAAUUCAUACCGCUGCAGAAUUUAGGAAUGAGAUAGCGCGUGGUAGUGGAAAUAGUUUUGUUUGUUUGUUUGAUUGUUGUUGGGAUUUUUUUUACCUCAAAUUUUCCUUUCCUUUCCUUGAUGUUUUUUCUCCAUUGUGCACAUUUUAUACAAUAUGAGGAAAAACAAAGGAGUGUUUUAUGUGAACUGCUGACAGUUUGCCAUUGUUUCAGGUCUAAUGUUUCUUACAGACUUCUUUGCGAUGUUUUAAGACUAAGUGCCUCUCCUUUUAGAUAGAAAAAGAUGCAAUGUCACUGUUUUCUGAUGCAGCCACAUGAAAAUAGAUGUUGGAUUCAUUAUAUAUAUCUAGCUCUGCAGGAAAAUGUGUUGUAUAGAAAGCCUUAUCUGCAAGCAGAGUCAAUAUCUACACUUAAAAGACAGGAGUGAAAAAUUAAGUUCUGUUUUUUUUUCUAUGUGGUUGUUUUUGAUACCAUGUAGUCAUGUGGGUGGGAACUUAAGGAUCAGCAUUGUGGAAACGCUAUGCUGGGAUUUAAUUAUGAAAACGAUAAAUAUAUCAUUCAAUUUAAAUUAAAGUCAGAAACUUAAUUUGCAUGCUAAAAUGUUAGAACUGGUUAACUACCUGAUAUAACCUCUUUGUAUAUUUUUGGUAACGAUGUCACAGUGAGAGUCACAGUGCAAGUAUCUUAUUCAGGUGGUAGAGUGUGAUUGGUUGUGGCUGUUUACUACCCAAAGUAGCAAGGAUUGCUACUUUUUUUUUUUUAAUCCAUUUUUUGUCCAUUUAAAUGGACACAAGCUAUGUCUGUGACUGUAUGUCUGUGUGUGUCUGAGUGUGCGCGUAUCAGUUGUUGUUGAGAUACUUGACAUUUCUGGGUCAUUUUUUUCACCUUUUCACAUGUAUCAAAAAAAUUAUAUUGUAACAUCAUGCCCAGUAACUACUGUAUAAUGCAGUUUUACAGCAGUGAUCCAAUUUCUUUAGAAUAAUCAUUAGAAAAAAGGGCAGUACGGUGGCAUGGUGGUUAGCACUGUUGCCGCACAGCAAGAAGGUCCUGAGUUCAAUUCCACCAUCAUGAAUGAAUGUGAGUGCGAAUGGUUGUCUGUCCCUGUGUGUUGGCCCUGCGACAGACUGGCGACCUGUCCAGGGUGUACCCCGCCUCUCGCCCUAUGACAGCUGGGAUAGGCUCCAGCGCCCCCCGCGACCCUGAAAAGGAUAAGCGAAAGUGAAUGGAUGGAUGGAUGGAUUAGAAAAAAGGUCUUAUACCAGCCCCUAUCUUCACAGAGUAAAGAAAAUAAAAGAGGCAGAGUGAAUUACUUUUUCUUUGUUUCUUUUCACCGAAUUUCAUGUCUGUGCCUUGAGCACUUGAGCAUCAACUGUUGGAUUGAAUAUGGAGAAAGAUAUCAGUAUAUAUCUUUUCUGGUCAGAAGGAUAAACACCACUUUUAACCCUUAAUAAUGUAUCCAAUGUUUUUC
Long non-coding RNA from Astatotilapia calliptera (eastern happy), 2094 nucleotides. Lineage: Eukaryota; Metazoa; Chordata; Actinopteri; Cichliformes; Cichlidae. The record is from Ensembl.